Molecule: ribosomal RNA, 430 nt
Filed under: uncultured bacterium
Lineage: Bacteria
Description: bacterial SSU rRNA
Rfam family: Bacterial small subunit ribosomal RNA
Source: RNAcentral
UCGAGGAUCAUUUGCAAUGGGCGCAAGCCUGACAAUGCGACGCUGCGUGGAGGAUGACGGCCUUCGGGUUGUAAACUCCUGUCGUCCGGGAACAAUAUCGGGAGGGUUAAUAACUCUGCCGGUUGAUGGUACUGGAAAAGGAAGUCACGGCUAACUCUGUGCCAGCAGCCGCGGUGAUACAGAGGUGGCUAGCGUUGUUCGGAUUUACUGGGCGUAAAGGAUGCGUAGGUGGCUUUGUGUGUCAGAUGUGAAAUUUCAUUGCUCAACGAUGAAAGUGCAUUUGAAACUACAGGGCUAGAGUACAGGAGAGGAGCAUGGAAUUCUUGGUGUAGCGGUGAAAUGCGUAGAUAUCAAGAAGAACACCGGAGGCGAAGGCGAUGCUCUAGACUGAUACUGACACUGAGGCAUGAAAGCUGGGGGAGCAAACAGG